Molecule: ribosomal RNA, 119 nt
Organism: Oryctes borbonicus
Lineage: Eukaryota; Metazoa; Arthropoda; Insecta; Coleoptera; Scarabaeidae
Source: Rfam
GGCAACGGCCAUACCACCGUGAAUAUGCCAGUUCUCGUCCGAUCACUGAAGCCAAGCACGGUCGGGCGCGGUUAGUACUUGGAUGGGUGACCGCUUGGGAACACCGCGUGCCGCUGGCU